AAUUAAGGUAGAGGCUGCGGUUCUUAAGAGUAUUCAUAAUGAGGUAAGCGCAAUGAAGUAUGAAGAAAGGAAUAACCGCCGAAGGCUAUAACUGAAGCUUUAAGGUUAUAGACCUGGGGGUGUAUAGAAGAUAUGCAUCACUGUCACAAAUGCAAAUUUGUGUUGAGCUACAUUUAAG
Regulatory RNA element from Turicibacter sp. H121, 178 nucleotides. It matches the Rfam family "Lysine riboswitch aptamer". Rfam says of the family: Riboswitches are metabolite binding domains within certain messenger RNAs that serve as precision sensors for their corresponding targets. Allosteric rearrangement of mRNA structure is mediated by ligand binding, and this results in modulation of gene expression. The record is from Rfam. NCBI's taxonomy places the organism in Bacteria, Bacillati, Bacillota, Erysipelotrichia, Erysipelotrichales, Turicibacteraceae.